RNAcentral lists this ribosomal RNA (527 nucleotides) under uncultured bacterium. Its description in RNAcentral is "bacterial SSU rRNA". It matches the Rfam family "Bacterial small subunit ribosomal RNA", at positions 28 to 526 of the family's 1533-position model. The record is from RNAcentral.
GACGAACGCUGGCGGCGUGCCUAAUACAUGCAAGUUGAACGCUAAAGCUUUAACUGGUGCUUGCACCGACCUAAGUUUUUAGAGUAGCGGACGGGUGAGUAACACGUGGGUAACCUGCCCAUCAGAGGGGGAUAACACUUGGAAACAGGUGCUAAUACCGCAUAAUUCCUUUUACCGCAUGGUAAAAGGCUGAAAGGCGCUUCUGGUGUCACUGAUGGAUGGACCCGCGGUGCAUUAGCUAGUCGGUGGGGUAACGGCCUACCGAGGCGAUGAUGCAUAGCCGACCUGAGAGGGUGAUCGGCCACAUUGGGACUGAGACACGGCCCAAACUCCUACGGGAGGCAGCAGUAGGGAAUCUUGCGCAAUGCGCGAAAGCGUGACGCAGCAACGCCGCGUGGGGGAAGACGGCCUUCGGGUUGUAAACCCCUUUCAGGAGGGACGAAGGUUCGCCGGUGAAUAGCCGUGCGGAUUGACGGUACCUCCACAAGAAGCUCCGGCUAACUACGUGCCAGCCGCCGCCGUAAUAC